Molecule: ribosomal RNA, 357 nt
Filed under: Triticum aestivum (bread wheat)
Lineage: Eukaryota; Viridiplantae; Streptophyta; Magnoliopsida; Poales; Poaceae
Description: partial small subunit ribosomal RNA
Source: RNAcentral
AUGCUAAGUGAAAAACAUGAACGUUCGGCACACGAAGAUUGCACACCUCUGUUCGUGCACUACUGUUUCUCCCAGCAGCUUUGGAUAAAAUCCAGGGAUUGGACGAGGACAGGCUUUCAGACUCUAGAUGAUAGCUUUGGUACUACAGAGGAUUGGUGGUUGAAUACGAGGAAGCAGGUCCCCAAGCCGGAACGGCGUAAUUUUGCCACUAUCCCAAUCCUGCUACACUGGAGGAUUUGGAAAAAACGAAAUGCUCGGAUCUUUGAGCAAGUGCUAAACGUGGACAGGGUGCUCGAACUAAUCAGAUAAGAUAUUGCAACAUGGAGGGCUGUUGGCUGCGUUGGCGAUCUUUGCUGA